Molecule: ribosomal RNA, 505 nt
Filed under: Pseudolycoriella wernermohrigi
Lineage: Eukaryota; Metazoa; Arthropoda; Insecta; Diptera; Sciaridae
Description: partial 16S ribosomal RNA
Source: RNAcentral
GUCUUUUUGAUUUUAAUUUAAAGUUUAACCUGCCCAUUGAAAAUUUUUAAAAGGCUGCGGUAUUUUGACUGUACAAAGGUAGCAUAAUCAUUAGUUUUUUAAUUGAAAACUUGUAUGAAUGGUUGGAUGAGAAAUUAACUUUUUUAAAAAAAUAAUUGAAUUUUACUUUUUAAUUAAAAGGUUAAAAUAAAUUUAAAAGACGAGAAGACCCUAUAGAGUUUUAUAAUUUAUAUUUAAUAUUUAAAAAGAUUAAUUAAAAUUUUAUAAAAGAAAAUAUUUUGUUGGGGUGAUAAUAAAAUUUAAAUAACUUUUAUUUUUUUUUACAUUAAUAUAUGAAUUUAUGAUCCAUUAUUGAUGAUUAGAAAUUUAAAUUACCUUAGGGAUAACAGCGUAAUUUUUUUUAAAGUUCAUAUUAAUAAAAAAUUUUGCGACCUCGAUKUUGGAUUAAGAUUUAAUUUUAGGUGCAGCAGUUUAAAUUUUAAGUCUGUUCGACUUUUAAAUUCUU